UUUACUAAACUGUCAGCUAAGUGGCGCACGGGUGAGUAAUAUAUAGUUAAUCUGCCCCAAAGAAGAGAAUAAUUGUUGGAAACGACUUGUAAUGCUCUAUAUGCCUUUAUCACAUAAGUGAGCAAGGGAAAUAUUUAUAGCUUUGGGAUGAGACUGUACGGUAUCAGCUAGUUGGUGAGGUAAUGGCUCACCAAGGCUAUGACAUCUAACUGGUUUGAGAGGAUGAUCAGUCACACUGGAACUGAGACACGGUCCAGACUCCUACGGGAGGCAGCAGUGGGGAAUAUUGCACAAUGGAGGAAACUCUGAUGCAGCAACGCCGCGUGGAGGAUGACACAUUUCGGUGCGUAAACUCCUUUUAUAUGAGAAGAUAAUGACGGUAUCAUAUGAAUAAGCACCGGCUAACUCCGUGCCAGCAGCCGCGGUAAUACGGGGGGUGCAAGCGUUACUCGGAAUCACUGGGCGUAAAGAGAAUGUAGGCUGGUAAUUAAGUUGGAAGUGAAAUCCUAUGGCUCAACCAUAGAACUGCUUCCAAAACUGAUUGCCUAGAAUAUGGGAGAGGUAGAUGGAAUUUCUGGUGUAGGGGUAA
This 589-nucleotide ribosomal RNA is filed under the name uncultured bacterium. RNAcentral's name for it is "bacterial SSU rRNA". It matches the Rfam family "Bacterial small subunit ribosomal RNA", at positions 77 to 684 of the family's 1533-position model. The record is from RNAcentral.